CAACCCCCCCGGACAGACAGGGAGAGCGGCUGCUACCUGUGUCCUGAACUUCACUCGGGAUCAGAUCUUACCCCAUUGAGCAACCCUCCUUCCAACACCCUAGGGCCUCCAGGACCCCCGUGCCAUUAGAGGGUGGUGCCCCCCAUAUCAGUUCUCAUUGUAGGGAGAGCAGGGCAGAAGCCCCCACCCCUGUGCUUUGGUGGGGCUGGGAGAAACCAGCCCGAGCCAGGUGGCUGCCAGGUAAAACCCACCCUAAGACACCAGCACUGUGCAAAGACUGACUUUGUGAUUGGGUCCAGAGGCUCUGUGGGCCAGGAGCAAGGGGUGGGCAGGCCUCAGACCUCCCUCUGAGGCCGAGACUGGCAGCAGCACCCACCUCCCUGAAGGCAGGCAGACCCAGGGAUGCCCACAGAAGGGUCCCUAGGGACAUGGCCAGCAGGAUGCCUGGGAGGGGCUCAGCUCCCUAAAUGGCCUGGGGCACCUCUGUGGGCCUCGCCUUCCCUGUGCCCAGUCCCUCCCUGCUCUGCCAGCCUGGGCAUGGGAGCCUGAGUUGCUGUGUCCCUCCCUUGAGAGUGGAGUGUCCUCAGACCAAGCUCACCCUCAGGACCUAGGGCCCCCUCUCUAGCUGAGGCUCAGCUGACUGAUGCUCCCAUUUCAUCUUGGGGGUAGGAGCGGGGGUCCUGAGCCCCCUCGUGAGUCCCCACCUUCCUGUUAGACGAUUCCCCGUGAGCCUUUUUAUAAAGAAUCGGCUGGGAGCCAGGGAACUUUUGGAAAGUGUAUGGGCCAAGCCAAGCUGCACAAACCUGUCUUCCUCCCAGAGCUGAAAGGGGCCAGGUUGUUCCCAGACGAAUGCAGAGGCGGGGCGGGGGCGAGGGGAGGGGAGAAGGAAGGGGGCUACCUCAGGAGGCCUCGCACACUGUGGAGCCACAGCCAGGGAAGGGGGAGGAUGAGGAGGCACAGCCAGAGGCAGCGGCGGGAGGAGGUCCGGUCCCAGGUGUCUCAUGUAGACUCACAUGCGAGACAUACACACCCCCCAAAGCGCUUGGGUGCAGACUGGGUCACACAGGGAUGCAAGCACGUAGGGAGGCACGCUGGCGUGCACAGACGUUUGCACAGGUACAUACACUGAGGCGGUCACACACACAGCUGCAGAGACGUGCUCAAACAUGCUCCCAUAUAAGGCCCCACCCCACACGUGUGCCAUGGAAUACACAGCGAAAGACGUGUGCAAAGGAUGCGUAUGGAGAAAUACCAAGCCAGACCCAGGAGGCGGGGAGAGGGCUUGACCACGCUGACAACCCAGCUCCCUUGGGCCCAGCACACCCGUACACCCAUGUACACACACACACACACACACACACACACACACACACACACACACCCUGGCCGGGAACCACUUACUUCAUAGGAACUUUUGGAUCCAGGGCAACACGCAAUCAAGACCUUGUGCUGGGAAAGAAAGCGCCUUUGUCUGCUGGGACCGGGGCUUUGGGAGCAGCUGCAGCCUUCCCCAGGACUGGGGCCAGGCCAGUUCCUCGCUUCUGGGUAGGAAGGUCAGGCGGGGCCGGGGCUGAGGGCGAGGGCGCGGGGGCCCGGCAGGCCCUGCCAUAAGCCCCAGAUGCUGUCCUCUGCCGGCUGCACGGAGCCCAGGAAGGCAGUGGUUCCCCGCCCUCGCCUGGGACUGGCCCCAGGGUGACCCAUGGUUCUAACCCUGGCCCUGGUGCUACACUGACCCAGACUGAGGCCCAGCUCCGGCCCCGGGGUUCCACGGCUGCCUUGUGCCAGUGGCCUCGCUUUUUUUAGCAGAGUGAAAGAAAGGUCAGGCUCUGGAAUUAGAAAGAUGUGACAUUGAAUCCUGGCUCUGUCGCUAGCUGGGUGGCUUUGAGAACAGACCUUCCUGAGCCCUGUGUUCAUUGGAGCCCCUGUGACAGUGCUCCAAGCCCAGACGGAGGCACACCUCCUCCUGGAGUCCACAGCCACCUCUGCUCUGCAGGAGCUGUCUCUGGGCCUGGUGGAGCCGGGGGAGCGCCCGCUGCUCUGGUCACAGGGAGGAGGGUGGAGCCCACACCCAAUCCAUCUGACGCUUCUGUGACUCCCCUCCUCCCUUUGGUCCCUUUCCUCCCUCAUGGUCCUGGCCCUGCUGCCCGGUGCCCCACUCUCUCCCUCCACCUCAGAGCCACGUCUUCUGCUGGCGAACCCCCAGUGAGGACAGUCCCGUUUUCUAACUCAAGAGGAUUCAGUCUAGGGACACCCUCCAGAGGUGGGUCCCAACAGUCCCAGGACCCUUCUGCUGGGGGCUCUUCCCUGCAUCUGCAACCUGCAAACACCUUCACGGUGUCACCACAAAGCCGGGAAUGUCAUUCUCGUAGCUCUUCCUCUUCCCUGGGGUAUCUCAAGGCCAGGGCAUGCCUGGCACCGAGCCUGGUAUGAGGCCGUUACUGUCAGACUCAGCAGUGGCUUUCAGAAGUUCAGGUGCAUUCAGCUACCACUGCCCCUUGGUGGGUUUCUAGCUUUUGCUCUUACUGUAACUUGGUGCCUCUCUUCUCACAUAUCUCUCAUAAUUGCAUGUCAGUCAAAUACCUUGUAUCCUUACUGUUAAUAGAAUUGUACUUUUUUAUAGAAAAUAACGAAGUUCAACCAGCCAAGUGUGGGGAGUGGCAGUUCAAGUGCUCUGCCCUGUCACUCGCGGUACAAUUCAUUUGUGCAUUGUUGAUGGGUUGAAUGCCGGCUCCCUGCCAGACCUGGAGCGGCCCAGAGGGAGCCCACCGAGAGCCCACUGAGAGCCCUGUCUAGAAAGACCCAGAAGAAGAGCCCAGCGGGGGACGAGGACAGUUUUUAAAGUCGUACUUGCAACCUAAACAAAAAAGAGAGACAGAAAAGGAGAAGUAGGAGGGGGAAGAGGAAGAGGACAAGAAGAUGAGGCGAGGAGGAUGAGAAGAAGUAAUCCGAUGGUCCUAGAAAGAUCUGACUCAGAAGUGUUGGAGAAGUCACAGUCCUAAAAGAGACAAUGUGAAAACCAAGCCCUCCUCUCUCACUCUCCACACUGCCCCAGGCAAGUCCUUUUCCCUGAAGGGAACCAGCCAACACUUCCCAUUGGCUUUGGUUUGAAAUGCGUUGGUUUUUUUUUUUAAUGUUUAUCUAUUUACUUUGAGA
Acinonyx jubatus (cheetah) is the source of this 3153-nucleotide long non-coding RNA. RefSeq lists it as uncharacterized. The record is from RefSeq and is a predicted model, not a curated record. Lineage: Eukaryota; Metazoa; Chordata; Mammalia; Carnivora; Felidae. The transcript is spliced from 3 exons.